This 85-nucleotide microRNA precursor is filed under the name Arabidopsis arenosa. RNAcentral describes it as "MIR164c". The record is from RNAcentral. Lineage: Eukaryota; Viridiplantae; Streptophyta; Magnoliopsida; Brassicales; Brassicaceae.
UGGAGAAGCAGGGCACGUGCGAACACAAAUGAGAUCGAUCGGUACAUGACGAUGAUCAUAUUUUCGCACGUGUUCUACUCCUCCA